CAUCUCCUGGAUCUUCCUGUAGGGAUUGACCCUCCCUUUCUGACUGCCUGCCUCUGAACUUCAAGCUCCAGCAUCAGAUGAGAAGACGAUGUCCUUAAAGGAACUGCUCAGCCAGCCUCUACGAUUGUUGAAGAAGCCUGGAGAGUGAGUGGUGAUGAAAUAGC
Long non-coding RNA from Lemur catta (Ring-tailed lemur), 164 nucleotides. RefSeq lists it as uncharacterized. Lineage: Eukaryota; Metazoa; Chordata; Mammalia; Primates; Lemuridae. The transcript is spliced from 3 exons. The record is from RefSeq and is a predicted model, not a curated record.